RNAcentral lists this ribosomal RNA (301 nucleotides) under uncultured bacterium. RNAcentral describes it as "partial 16S ribosomal RNA". It matches the Rfam family "Bacterial small subunit ribosomal RNA", at positions 509 to 807 of the family's 1533-position model. The record is from RNAcentral.
CAGCCGCCACGGUAAUACGAGGGGUGCAAGCGUUAUUCGGAUUGAUUGGGUGUAAAGGGUGUGCAGACGGCUUAUUAAGUCGCUUGUUAAAUUCUUCGGCCUAACUGAAGGUCUGCAAGUGAUACUGAUGAGCUAGAGGGUGGAAGAGAGAAGUGGAAUUCUCGGAGUAGCGGUAAAAUGCGUAGAUCUCGAGAGGAACACCAAUGGCGAAGGCAGCUUCUUGGUCCAUUCCUGACGUUCAUACACGAAAGCGUGGGGAGCAAACAGGAUUAGAUACCCCCGUAGUCCCUGUCUCUUAUAC